AAACCGUUCAGGGGUAAACCUAAGAAACCCAAAAGAUCGAAUGGGGAGAUUCAUCGUCGACGGCGCUGGCUACCGUUGGUGCGCGAUGCUCCGGGUGGACCCUUGCGGUUCCAUUAGCGUGUGGCACACCACCUUCGGAUCGAACGUUCCGGCGUCGUAGUCGUGCACUUCUCCCCUAGUAGGACGUCGCGACCCGUUGUGUGUCGGUCUACGGCCCGAGUGGGCGCCUGUCGCGUCGUUUCGGCGCACGCGACAGACCCUCGGUCGCCCGGCCGGCUGCACGACGGUACACUCACGGUAUCGGGCCGCAACCAGUCCAUUCUCGAAUGUGUGUGCGUCCAACCCGCCGCAAGCUCGGUCAGUUCUUACCCGGAGGUACGGACCCUGUGCCGUCCCCGGGCCUGGCCAGCUGUUAGCAGGCGGUGUCCUCGGACUGGCCAAAUCUCAGAUUACCGGUCGGCGACGCUAUUGCUUUGGGUACUCUCAGGACCCGUCUUGAAACACGGACCAAGGAGUCUAACAUGUGCGCGAGUCAUUGGGAUGCAUAAACCUAAAGGCGAAAUGAAAGUGAAAGUCGGCCUUCGCGCCGAUCGAGGGAGGAUGGGCCGCGUAACCAUGCGGCCUCGCACUCCCGGGGCGUCUCGUUCUCAUUGCGAGAAGAGGCGCACCUAGAGCGUACACGUUGGGACCCGAAAGAUGGUGAACUAUGCCUGGUCAGGACGAAGUCAGGGGAAACCCUGAUGGAGGUCCGUAGCGAUUCUGACGUGCAAAUCGAUCGUCGGAACUGGGUAUAGGGGCGAAAGACUAAUCGAA
RNAcentral lists this ribosomal RNA (813 nucleotides) under Frieseomelitta trichocerata. RNAcentral's name for it is "eukaryotic LSU rRNA". It matches the Rfam family "Eukaryotic large subunit ribosomal RNA", at positions 402 to 939 of the family's 3401-position model. Lineage: Eukaryota; Metazoa; Arthropoda; Insecta; Hymenoptera; Apidae. The record is from RNAcentral.